CCCUUAGAUGUUCUGGGCCGCACGCGCGCUACACUGACAGAGCCAACGAGUUCUUUGCCUUGGCCGGAAGGUCUGGGUAAUCUUGUUAAACUCUGUCGUGCUGGGGAUAGAGCAUUGCAAUUAUUGCUCUUCAACGAGGAAUGCCUAGUAAGCGCGCGUCAUCAGCACGCGUUGAUUACGUCCCUGCCCUUUGUACACACCGCCCGUCGCUACUACCGAUUGAAUGGCUCAGUGAGGCCUUCGGACUGGCUCAGGGAGGUUGGCAACGACCACCCCGAGCCGGAAAGUUCGUCAAACUCGGUCAUUUAGAGGAAGUAAAAGUCGUAACA
This 329-nucleotide ribosomal RNA is filed under the name uncultured eukaryote. RNAcentral's name for it is "partial 18S ribosomal RNA". It matches the Rfam family "Eukaryotic small subunit ribosomal RNA", at positions 1470 to 1796 of the family's 1831-position model. The record is from RNAcentral.